UAAGACAGGCGUGAAAUCCCCGGGCUCAACCUGGGAACUGCGUUUGUGACUGCAAGGCUAGAGUAUGGCAGAGGGGGGUGGAAUUCCACGUGUAGCAGUGAAAUGCGUAGAGAUGUGGAGGAACACCGAUGGCGAAGGCAGCCCCCUGGGCCAAUACUGACGCUCAUGCACGAAAGCGUGGGUAGCAAACAGGAUUAGAUACCCUGGUAGUCCACGCCCUAAACGAUGUCAACUAGGUGUUGGGUGGGUAAAACCAUUUAGUACCGGAGCUAACGCGUGAAGUUGACCGCCUGGGGAGUACGGCCGCAAGGUUAAAACUCAAAGGAAUUGACGGGGACCCGCACAAGCGGUGGAUGAUGUGGAUUAAUUCGAUGCAACGCGAAAAACCUUACCUACCCUUGACAUGUCCGGAAGCCCUUAGAGAUUUGGGUGUGCUCGAAAGAGAGCCGGAACACAGGUGCUGCAUGGCUGUCGUCAGCUCGUGUCGUGAGAUGUUGGGUUAAGUCCCGCAACGAGCGCAACCCUUGUCGUUAAUUGCCAUCAUUCAGUUGGGCACUUUAACGAGACUGCCGGUGACAAACCGGAGGAAGGUGGGGAUGACGUCAAGUCCUCAUGGCCCUUAUGGGUAGGGCUUCACACGUCAUACAAUGGUCGGUACAAAGGGUCGCCAACCCGCGAGGGGGAGCCAAUCCCAGAAAGCCGAUCGUAGUCCGGAUCGUAGGCUGCAACUCGCCUGCGUGAAGUCGGAAUCGCUAGUAAUCGUGGAUCAGCAUGUCACGGUGAAUACGUUCCCGGGUCUUGUACACAUCGCCCGUCACACCAUGGGAGCGGGUUCCGCCAGAAGUAGGUAGCCUAACCGCAAGGGGGGCGCUUACCACGGCGGGGUUCGUGACUGGGGUG
This 900-nucleotide ribosomal RNA is filed under the name uncultured bacterium. RNAcentral describes it as "bacterial SSU rRNA". It matches the Rfam family "Bacterial small subunit ribosomal RNA", at positions 584 to 1482 of the family's 1533-position model. The record is from RNAcentral.